AUUUAGAAAUUUAAUACUAUAUAUAAAAACAGAAGCCUCUUUAGAGGUGCUGUCAGAUUAUAAGUAAGAAACAAGGCCACUAUAACCGGUUAAAGUUAUUGAGUACACAUAAAUAGAAAUAGAGACAGGCUAGAGGUCUGGGACGCAGAGAAAGAGGCUGGGACAUGGAGAAAGAAACAGAGAGAGGGCAGAACGGUAAAGACUUCAUCGAUUGGGCAAAAGAAAUCAAAAAAUCUCAAAACACGAUUAAGGAGGAAGGAAGAUGAAGCGGCCUUCAGCAUAAGCACAAAAAAAGCCUUUCCCAGGAACUCUCGAUAUCAGACUAUUUUUUCUUGAAUUAUGGCAGAAACUGGAGAGCGAACGACAAAGAGAAAUCUGGUCAGAAAAAACUGAGAUGACAAUCACGCAUCUACUUCUAUCAGACCCGUACUCUCCACUGAUCUUCAUGGAUCAAUUUGGUGCUGUAUCUCAACAAAAAGGUUAUCAUCCUCUGUUGCCAUUUGUUCAACAAAAAUGGGCAAAAGAAAAAGGAAACUCUUCCCCUUUGCAUGCUUUGUUCAUUUCGUUUCUGCAACUUAAUACACACAAGGUGUAGAAAAAAGUUUUAAACACCCAAAAGUGGAUAUGGUAAGCAAGUUUACCAUCAUGCAAUUGCUGCUGAAAAGCUGCCAAACUUAGAUCUUUUUCUUCAUCUUGAUGCCAAACUUAGGAUUUAAUGUCAAAAUCAAAGUUUGAGAGGGAAUUUGCAGCUUGAAAGUGGAUGGAUUAAUUGCAUUUUGUACGUUAAUAGCAAUUUCCCAUUUUGAUUUGCAAGGACAUUCUCACAAAUUUAGAGACUACUAUAUGUCCCUCUUGGCAAAUAUGUUCUGAGUAACCUACUUACAAUGAACAUAAAGCAUAAUAUUAUAUUUGUAUCAACAAAAAUGGUGUCCUCACACACUUUAUAUAUAAACGAAACUGAGGAAACAUGAAUUUUUAUAGUUAUAUUUUUUUCAACUUCUUUCAUUCCUGUUGUAACAGAGAGACGAAACUAAGUUAAACAUGCAAAAGGUUAAAUUUUAUUUGAA
Long non-coding RNA from Quercus robur (English oak), 1067 nucleotides. RefSeq lists it as uncharacterized. The record is from RefSeq and is a predicted model, not a curated record. The transcript is spliced from 5 exons. NCBI's taxonomy places the organism in Eukaryota, Viridiplantae, Streptophyta, Magnoliopsida, Fagales, Fagaceae.